UUCCAGAAAAUUCAGCCAUCAAAGGGAUCUUAAAUCCCACUUAAAAUUGAGGAAGUUGAGCGAAUUUCAAGCUACGGAAUACCAAUCGAAGUUCGGACGAUUUGUAGUCGCGAUUAUCAUUCCGUUUUGGUGUUGGAGGAGCUUGGGAACAAGUAAAAAUUGAAGAUCUUGUUACUUUGGUAAAAAAAAAAAGAUUACGAGGCUACGAAUAAUCUUCAGUGGAUUGCAAGACAAGAAGUAAGUUGGAAGUCGAGAAAUUAUCCUUCAGGUGUAUACAGAUGAGUAGAGGAUAUUGCUAGAAGAUGUUCCAGCGGGAUUGGCGAACUCCAUUUCUUUUCGGAGUGUUGCCGAGUCAGAGUAUGUGUGUUAUGGGAUAUUGAUUUAUGUUAGAGACUUUGCAGACAGAGUCAUGUAUACAGUAUGCCCGUCUUGUAAGCAGCUAUUUAAGCCGAUGUAUCAUUAUGCAUUACUUUACAGAUUCAUAUGAUUACAAAUUUUAUUUGA
Long non-coding RNA from Lycium barbarum (goji berry), 504 nucleotides. RefSeq lists it as uncharacterized. NCBI's taxonomy places the organism in Eukaryota, Viridiplantae, Streptophyta, Magnoliopsida, Solanales, Solanaceae. The transcript is spliced from 3 exons. The record is from RefSeq and is a predicted model, not a curated record.